AACGUAGGACGCGAGCGUUAUCCGGAGUUACUGGGCGUAAAGGGCGGGCAGGCGGCCUGGCAAGAUGGGCGUGAAAUCUCCCGGCUCAACCGGGAGGGGCCGCUCGUGACUGUUAGGCUAGAGGGCGACAGAGGCGCGUGGAAUUCCGGGUGGAGUGGUGAAAUGCGUAGAGAUCCGGAGGAACACCAGAGGCGAAAGCGGCGCGCUGGGUCGCGACUGACGCUGAACCGCGAAAGCCAGGGUAGCGAACGGG
Molecule: ribosomal RNA, 253 nt
Filed under: uncultured bacterium
Lineage: Bacteria
Description: partial 16S ribosomal RNA
Rfam family: Bacterial small subunit ribosomal RNA
Source: RNAcentral